RNAcentral lists this small nuclear RNA (264 nucleotides) under Nannospalax galili (Upper Galilee mountains blind mole rat). RNAcentral's name for it is "7SK RNA (ENSNGAG00000007128.1)". It matches the Rfam family "7SK RNA", at positions 1 to 270 of the family's 331-position model. Rfam says of the family: 7SK was discovered as an abundant small nuclear RNA in the mid-70s but a possible function has only recently been suggested. Two independent studies have found that 7SK RNA binds the CDK9/cyclin T complex (known as elongation factor P-TEFb). The record is from RNAcentral. Lineage: Eukaryota; Metazoa; Chordata; Mammalia; Rodentia; Spalacidae.
GGACAUGAGGGAAUCUGAAUGUGAUAUCUGUCACCCCAUUGAUCAUAAGAGUUUAUUGGGCUGAUCUGGAUAACUAGGCUGAUAUCCCCUUCUUCCCUCACUGCUCCAUGUGAGUCUUUCUUGAAUCCACAAACUCCAUCAAAGAGAAUGACUUUCCUGAUAGAGGAGGACUAGUCUUUGUCAGAGUAUAAGAGUACCUUUUGUUCCCCUGCUUAAAGCUCCAAAUAAGCUCUCAAUAUCUAAUUACUUAAAAGAAAAUUAUUU